Molecule: long non-coding RNA, 247 nt
Filed under: Sorghum bicolor (sorghum)
Lineage: Eukaryota; Viridiplantae; Streptophyta; Magnoliopsida; Poales; Poaceae
Description: long non-coding RNA (SBIC_LNC003596)
Source: RNAcentral
ACACUGGGCCUGAUGUCUUCGGGUUGAGCCUUGUCAAAACGCUUGGGCCGAGAUGUCAAAGGAGCCCCUGCUACCACUCCAGCCGAGCCUGCAGGCUUGUCUUGGUCAGCCGACCGUCUAGUGCUGACAAUAUGUUCGGUGUUGUUUUAUACCGCCUUACGGGACGUGGGCCAAAGGUCGGAAGAGAAUAGGAGAUGGAUAUAGAUAGGCCAGACGAAAAAACAUGCAAGUAUUGGCAUACCGACCC